RNAcentral lists this ribosomal RNA (1384 nucleotides) under Salmonella enterica. RNAcentral's name for it is "partial 23S ribosomal RNA". It matches the Rfam family "Bacterial large subunit ribosomal RNA", at positions 1577 to 2925 of the family's 2925-position model. The record is from RNAcentral. Lineage: Bacteria; Pseudomonadati; Pseudomonadota; Gammaproteobacteria; Enterobacterales; Enterobacteriaceae.
CCACGGUGCUGAAGCAACAAAUGCCCUGCUUCCAGGAAAAGCCUCUAAGCAUCAGGUAACAUCAAAUCGUACCCCAAACCGACACAGGUGGUCAGGUAGAGAAUACCAAGGCGCUUGAGAGAACUCGGGUGAAGGAACUAGGCAAAAUGGUGCCGUAACUUCGGGAGAAGGCACGCUGACACGUAGGUGAAGUGAUUUACUCACGGAGCUGAAGUCAGUCGAAGAUACCAGCUGGCUGCAACUGUUUAUUAAAAACACAGCACUGUGCAAACACGAAAGUGGACGUAUACGGUGUGACGCCUGCCCGGUGCCGGAAGGUUAAUUGAUGGGGUCAGCGCAAGCGAAGCUCCUGAUCGAAGCCCCGGUAAACGGCGGCCGUAACUAUAACGGUCCUAAGGUAGCGAAAUUCCUUGUCGGGUAAGUUCCGACCUGCACGAAUGGCGUAAUGAUGGCCAGGCUGUCUCCACCCGAGACUCAGUGAAAUUGAACUCGCUGUGAAGAUGCAGUGUACCCGCGGCAAGACGGAAAGACCCCGUGAACCUUUACUAUAGCUUGACACUGAACAUUGAGCCUUGAUGUGUAGGAUAGGUGGGAGGCUUUGAAGCGUGGACGCCAGUCUGCGUGGAGCCGACCUUGAAAUACCACCCUUUAAUGUUUGAUGUUCUAACGUGGACCCGUAAUCCGGGUUGCGGACAGUGUCUGGUGGGUAGUUUGACUGGGGCGGUCUCCUCCUAAAGAGUAACGGAGGAGCACGAAGGUUGGCUAAUCCUGGUCGGACAUCAGGAGGUUAGUGCAAUGGCAUAAGCCAGCUUGACUGCGAGCGUGACGGCGCGAGCAGGUGCGAAAGCAGGUCAUAGUGAUCCGGUGGUUCUGAAUGGAAGGGCCAUCGCUCAACGGAUAAAAGGUACUCCGGGGAUAACAGGCUGAUACCGCCCAAGAGUUCAUAUCGACGGCGGUGUUUGGCACCUCGAUGUCGGCUCAUCACAUCCUGGGGCUGAAGUAGGUCCCAAGGGUAUGGCUGUUCGCCAUUUAAAGUGGUACGCGAGCUGGGUUUAGAACGUCGUGAGACAGUUCGGUCCCUAUCUGCCGUGGGCGCUGGAGAAUUGAGGGGGGCUGCUCCUAGUACGAGAGGACCGGAGUGGACGCAUCACUGGUGUUCGGGUUGUCAUGCCAAUGGCACUGCCCGGUAGCUAAAUGCGGAAAAGAUAAGUGCUGAAAGCAUCUAAGCACGAAACUUGCCCCGAGAUGAGUUCUCCCUGAGACCUUGAGUCUCCUGAAGGAACGUUAAAGACGAUGACGUUGAUAGGCCGGGUGUGUAAGCGCAGCGAUGCGUUGAGCUAACCGGUACUAAUGAACCGUGAGGCUUAACCUUACAACGCCGAAG